Long non-coding RNA from Panicum virgatum (switchgrass), 1045 nucleotides. RefSeq lists it as uncharacterized. The record is from RefSeq and is a predicted model, not a curated record. The transcript is spliced from 5 exons. Lineage: Eukaryota; Viridiplantae; Streptophyta; Magnoliopsida; Poales; Poaceae.
CCAUAGCUCACUUCACAAAGCAACAAAUUCAACAAAAGGAGAAGGAGCUUAAAGGUAACUACAGGACACUAAGAGAUGCAAAAAAGGAAAGUGGUAAUGGCUGGAAUGAAUCUUUGUGCAUGAUACUUGCCGAACCAAAAAUCUGGGAGAAGUUAAUUAAGAACCAUCCAAAAGUAGCAAAGUUUCGCAAAAAGCCAUUUCCUCUCUUUUACCAAUUGGAAGCACUAUAUUAAGGAAGUAUUGCCACAGGGAAUCUAAACUUCACUUCAAUUCAGCAAAAGGAUCCUUUUGACGAUACUCCUAUGGCUGCUCCAAGGGUUGCUCCUAUGGCUGCUCCAACUGUUGCUCCUAUGGCUGCUCCUGCUGAGAGAAGUAUCUCGGAACAAAGCUUCCACAGUGAUCUUAGAGACUUUGGCAAUAAUCUGUAUGCUUCAAGUUUUGAUGGCCAAGGGACCUCAAGUGCACGCAAUGAACAAAAUGAAGCUCAAUCUGCUCCAAGUGAAGGAGGAAGUGGGAGAAAGCAUAAGCAAAGUCACAUUGGAUCUGCGCUUGAGGAUUAUGUGGAGUUUAAAAAGAGUCAAACAAGCAAAACUUUGGAAUCUCUGAAUGAAAAGAAAAAGCGUGCUGAGGAAUUUUGUUUUGAGAAGUGUGCUGAUCAAGUGGAUUCUAUAAAUGAAUUAACAAAUGAUGAGAAGUCAUAUGCUAUGGAGCUCUUUGAAUCUGAUACAAACAGAGAAGUGUUCAUGAAGACCAAAAAUCCUGAAGUUCGUCUAAUUUGGCUAAAGAGAAAAAUCAGAGCACUUGCUGCAAACAGUGCAUAGAAGGUAGAAGUUAUUUCGUGACAGGAGUGGCACAAAUGCAGACCAAAGAAGAGAGGAAGGCUGAAGCAUGCAAGUGAUUUCCUAAAGUAUUGACGGACAACGUAGUUUUGUGUGAGCUGUGAUAGUUGAAUGUAGUAGAUUCAGGAAUCCGACAACACUUGUCUUGAAUUUUAUUUUACCGUACUUAUGUACCAUUUGAGUAUUAUGAAGUGACCUUUAUAUGA